Molecule: long non-coding RNA, 1588 nt
Organism: Girardinichthys multiradiatus
Lineage: Eukaryota; Metazoa; Chordata; Actinopteri; Cyprinodontiformes; Goodeidae
Exons: 3
Source: RefSeq, a predicted model, not a curated record
UGGCAAAGCGACGGGCCUGCAGAGAGCAUGUUGCCCACGCACACAGUUGGCUCUGCCUGGACGACUCCAUCUUCUCGAUCCGUGGGCUGAAACUUGGAAAAUUCCACCGUUCUGUUGGAACAUGUCCAGUCUGGAGCAGAACAAUCACCACAUGGGCCCUCAGUAACCUCACACCUUUAAAAUAACCACUGGGAGCACGUUUUCACAUCCUUCAUUCACCUGUCAGAAAACUCAGCUUAAUCUUGUUUUUUAUGCUUUUACAGCAGACAAAUACACAAUAUUCAGACCCAAAAACUAACACUAAACUACAACACAAAUGCAAUAUUAAAUUUUCUAACUGGGCAUACAGGUUCUGGUCCAAUUUUUUCUAAAAUGACCUAGCAAAGGAAUGUUUCCCCACAGCUGCUCCUCCCUGGCCACCACCUUCAUGUUAACUGUCAGCAUCUCACAUGGAGGAACUACAUGUUAUGCAACUGUACCAGUUCUUCUAGAAAGAUGACUUCAUCUUCAUCUGCAAGCUCAACACAGUUGCAUAACCAACAAAACAAUCAGAGACUACAUACCUCCGCCACCCAACACAGGGUCACUGACACUAUAGGGAAACAAGUCCUGGAUCCGGAUCACCACCAAAAUUUGAUGGAUUUUUCCUUCGGCUAAGACACACUUCUGGGUCGCAGAGGGCCUGCUGCCUAUCUCCAGGCGGUCAUCAGGAGAAAGGAUGUGUGGGAUCUGCAGAGAUGUUAGCUGCCCUUUUCGUGACCUGUACAAAACCUGGAUGGAGGGAAAGUCAGCUCUCUACGUGCUGGCUGAGCAUGAAGGAUUGCUACAAAGUCAAGAAUUUGGUGCGACUCCGAUGCUUCCAUAGAAAAAUGACUUUUGCCAAUUGUAAUAUGAUCAACUGUUUUUAAUUAGGAUCAAACUGGACUACAUGUACUUCACUCUGAAUCUGACCAUAUGACUGGAAUGUAUUGGAAUAAAUUGACUUAAACUGAAACUGACAUUAAAUUGGACUUUUCAUAAACAGAUGUGGAUUAAAGCAGUUUGUUUUGUAAUGUUUGAGAUUAGAUAAGUUGUGAACUGCUACAAUAUAAACAAACUAAACUGAAUUUUUUGAGUCUUACUUUUAUUUCUCCUUAAAUCAUGAUGGACCUUCACAUAAAACCUGUAUGGAAGCUCCUUUUGUCCAGGAAGGGCAUCCUGUUGGAUCCAGUGUGGUGUCAACAUCCAGCCUUUAUUCGUUUUUUCAUAUUUCUGCAGAGGUCUUGUUUCAGUUCACAGCUUUGUCACAUUAAACAGAAGGAAAAGAUCUUUACACCACGUAUUCAAAUCAAGCCUGGACGGCAACAUUCAAACAUCAGAAACUGGAUUUCGGAUAAGUGACAGUUUUUCCUGUUUCCGUCAUGAAUUUAAAAUUGCAUAAAAGAAAACAUGCAUAAAGUAAUGAUACAGCACAAACUACAUAUGUUAAAUGACCAACCAACAACUAUACAAAAUAUAAAUGAAUCACAAAGGAAUGUUUUGCACAUGUUCCGUCAUGAUUAAAUCCUAUAUUCUAUUUUUUCUGGGGUUCAAUGCAUAAAAUGUUGGA